GCGACCAAUCCCCAUAUCAACCUCCCUCGAUCUCCCGUACGUCCCCUACCAUCGUGUUGCCAUCGUCUGUGCCGCUUGCCUCGACCCCCAUUCCUGACCUCACGCUGCCCGGCGCCUCCUCCCCACACCAAGGACCUCCCCUUGCUUCGACUCUUCUUCCUAUCCGGUUAGAACCGCGACGCACGGCCUCUCGUGCUCACCCGCGACCCUCAGCUGUGGCUAGGGUUUUGGGCUGGGAAGCGCCUUCGCCGCCGGCGCGGCUCCGGUGGACUCCGACGGCUCCUCUUUGUCUCCUCCCUCGCCCCCCACGUGCGGUUCCGCUUCCCGCUGGCCACGAGGUGCAGCCUUGGAGGGGCGCAUCGGGCUGGGCCUCCUCUGUUUUCGAUUUGGUGCAGCAGACGUUGUGGGGUUGAGGUGUUCUCCGAUGAUUUGCUUAUCUGCUUUAUAGACACCAUUGUGUGACUGAAGUUCCUGUUUUGUUUAACUCCCCCGAAAUACCAGGUCAUGAGCUUGGCCGGCGCAAGAAUAAACUUCGCAGAUACCGAGAGAUGAACAUCGCUUCAUGAACAUGGUGAAUUUAGUGACAACUAAAGUAAAUCCAUAGGCCCAGCUUUGAGUCUGUAUCAGAACUACCGCAUUCUGCAUUGUAUUGCUACAAGCUGUCAAUUAUAGCGCACAGAUCAGUACUAAGUCCAAGCCCUGAGCUCCUUGUUUUUUUUCCUCCCGAAGCACUUUGUCACUGUAACAAAAUACACCAGGUUUGACUGUUUAAGUAAGCAAGUCCUUGCUAUAGUCAUGUCUGCUGUGCACUGGCCUGCUCCUUCUACUGGGUCUGGCAUUCCAUUCUAACUACACACCUAAUAUAACAUGGUGUCGUUGCAGGUUGUGUAGUUUACACUCUACAUUAGUUUAUCUAGCUAUUUACAACUCACUCUGAUCUAAUUAGGUAAACCUUGAACACAAGCCAUCUACUAUUGGACAAGGCAUGAUCUAAUCAGAUAAAUCUUGAACAUAAGCCUCCUACUGUUGAUGUCAUGUUGGCAAGGCAGAUAUCUCCUUCUUUCAUCUUAUAUUUAUUUGCAAAUGCCCCCCAUCCCUUGGUAAUGGACGUCAGUUCGCUCAACUGAUGAACCUUUAACCUGACAUUGAAGUCAAACAUCGUCGCUUCGCUCUCUAGCUGAAGGCGGAUGAGCCUUUUUAUUUCUUUUGCAUGCGGGAAACUACACACCUUAGUAUAUUCCUUGCACAAUACCCACUCAUAAAUUCACAGAUUCAGAUCAAUGGAUGAUUCAAAGGAAAUAGUCAGUGCUAACUGAU
This is a long non-coding RNA of Triticum aestivum (bread wheat), 1317 nucleotides long. RefSeq lists it as uncharacterized. The transcript is spliced from 6 exons. The record is from RefSeq and is a predicted model, not a curated record. NCBI's taxonomy places the organism in Eukaryota, Viridiplantae, Streptophyta, Magnoliopsida, Poales, Poaceae.